GCCAAUGUAGUUAAGGGAUAGAUCAUUUUCACGUUAGGGAAGGGGUCGAGGGUUCAAAUCCCUUCAUUGGUC
This 72-nucleotide transfer RNA is filed under the name Saprospirales bacterium. RNAcentral's name for it is "tRNA-Asn". It matches the Rfam family "tRNA". Rfam says of the family: Transfer RNA (tRNA) molecules are approximately 80 nucleotides in length. Lineage: Bacteria; Pseudomonadati; Bacteroidota; Saprospiria; Saprospirales. The record is from RNAcentral.